AGAGGGUGCGAGCGUUAAUCGGAAUUACUGGGCGUAAAGCGAGUGUAGGUGGCUCAUUAAGUCACAUGUGAAAUCCCCGGGCUUAACCUGGGAACUGCAUGUGAUACUGGUGGUGCUAGAAUAUGUGAGAGGGAAGUAGAAUUCCAGGUGUAGCGGUGAAAUGCGUAGAGAUCUGGAGGAAUACCGAUGGCGAAGGCAGCUUCCUGGCAUAAUAUUGACACUGAGAUUCGAAAGCAUGGGUAGCGAACAGGAUUAGAUACCCUGGUAGUCCAUGCCGUAAACGAUGAAUGCUAGGUGUUGGAGGGUUUCCGCCCUUCAGUGCCGCAGCUAACGCAUUAAGCAUUCCGCCUGGGGAGUACGACCGCAAGGUUG
Molecule: ribosomal RNA, 372 nt
Filed under: uncultured bacterium
Lineage: Bacteria
Description: bacterial SSU rRNA
Rfam family: Bacterial small subunit ribosomal RNA
Source: RNAcentral